Molecule: ribosomal RNA, 480 nt
Filed under: Pseudanabaena sp. AMB CS2
Lineage: Bacteria; Bacillati; Cyanobacteriota; Cyanophyceae; Pseudanabaenales; Pseudanabaenaceae
Description: bacterial SSU rRNA
Rfam family: Bacterial small subunit ribosomal RNA
Source: RNAcentral
AUGCCGAGAGGUAAAAGCUUUAGUGCCUGUAGAUGAGCUCGCGUCCGAUUAGCUAGUUGGUAAGGUAAGAGCUUACCAAGGCGACGAUCGGUAGCUGGUCUGAGAGGAUGAUCAGCCACACUGGGACUGAGACACGGCCCAGACUCCUACGGGAGGCAGCAGUGGGGAAUUUUCCGCAAUGGGCGAAAGCCUGACGGAGCAAUACCGCGUGCGGGACGAAGGCUUUUGGGUCGUAAACCGCUUUUGUUAGGGAAGAACACAAUGACGGUACCUAACGAAUCAGCAUCGGCUAACUCCGUGCCAGCAGCCGCGGUAAUACGGGGGAUGCAAGCGUUAUCCGGAGUUAUUGGGCGUAAAGCGUCCGCAGGUGGUUUAUCAAGUCUGCUGUUAAAUAGUGGGGCUUAACCCCAUAAAGGCAGUGGAAACUGAGAGACUAGAGUACGGUAGGGGUAGCGGGAAUUCCCAGUGUAGCGGUGAAAU